UACGGAAGGCAGCAGUGGGGAAUAUUGCACAAUGGGCGCAAGCCCGAUGCAGCCAUGCCGCGUGUAUGAAAAAGGCCUUCGGGUUUGUAAAGUACUUUUCAGUCGUGAGGAAGGUGUUAAGGUUAAUAACCUUAGCAAUUGACGUUAGCGACAGAAGAAGCACCGGCUAACUCCGUGCCAGCAGCCGCGGUAAUACGGAGGGUGCGAGCGUUAAUCGGAAUUACUGGGCGUAAAGGGCACGCAGGCGGUUAAUUAAGUUGGAUGUGAAAUCCCCCGGGCUUAACCUGGGAAUGGCAUUCAAGACUGGUUAGCUAGAGUCUUGUAGAGGGGGGUAGAAUUCCAUGUGUAGCGGUGAAAUGCGUAGAGAUGUGGAGGAAUACCGGUGGCGAAGGCGGCCCCCUGGACAAAGACUGACGCUCAUGUGCGAAAGCGUGGGGAGCAAACAGGGAUUAGAUACC
Molecule: ribosomal RNA, 458 nt
Filed under: uncultured bacterium
Lineage: Bacteria
Description: bacterial SSU rRNA
Rfam family: Bacterial small subunit ribosomal RNA
Source: RNAcentral